Molecule: ribosomal RNA, 1815 nt
Filed under: uncultured Acidobacteriota bacterium
Lineage: Bacteria; Pseudomonadati; Acidobacteriota
Description: bacterial LSU rRNA
Rfam family: Bacterial large subunit ribosomal RNA
Source: RNAcentral
GGAAGUGAACCAUCUCAGUACCUGAAGGAAAAGAAAGAAACCUCGAUUGCGAAAGUAGUGGCGAGCGAAAUCGCAACAGCCCAAACCCGGCGGAUCUCGGUCCGGCGGGGGUUGUAGGGCCGGCAACAGUAGAGUUACCAAUCCAGUCGUUAACAGAAGCCCUCUGGAAAGGGGAGCCAUAGAGCGUGACAGCCGCGUACGUGAAAACGAUCUGGACUCGAAGCCGGUACCUGAGUAAGGCGGAGCACGUGGAACUCUGUCUGAAUCUACGGGGACCAUCCCGUAAGGCUAAAUACACGCUUCUGACCGAUAGUGAACCAGUACCGUGAGGGAAAGGUGAAAAGAACCCCGGCAAGGGGAGUGAAAUAGUACCUGAAACCGUGUGCCUACAAGCAGUGGGAGGGCUAUGCCAGUGAUGGAAUGCCUGACCGCGUGCCUAUUGCAUAAUGAGCCGGCUAGUUAUUCUUGUCAGCAAGGUUAAGCGUAAGCGAGCCGCAGCGAAAGCGAGUCUUAAUAGGGCGAUUCAGUUGGCAGGAAUAGACGCGAAGCGGGAUGAUCUACCCUUGGCCAGGUUGAAAGUGGGGUAACACCCACUGGAGGACCGAACCGGUGUUUGUUGAAAAAAGCUCGGAUGAGCUGAGGGUAGGGGUGAAAGGCUAAUCAAAUUCCGUGAUAGCUCGUUCUCUCCGAAAUAGCUUUAGGGCUAGCCUCGGGUGAUUUGCAGUGGUGGUAGAGAUCUGAUUGGACUAGGGGGCUUUCCAGCUUACUGAAUCCAACCAAACUUCGAAUGCCAUGGACAACCAGCCCGGGAGUCAGACAGUGGGGGCUAAGCUUCAUUGUCGAGAGGAAAACAGUCCAGACCGCCUGCUAAGGUCCCAAAAUUUCAGCUAAGUGGGAAAGGAAGUCGGAACGCCCAGACAGCCAGGAGGUUGGCUUAGAAGCAGCCAUCCUUUAAAGAAAGCGUAAUAGCUCACUGGUCAAGCGGUCCGGUGCCGACAAUUUAACGGGGCUAAAGCUGAGUACCGAAGCAGCGGAUGCAUGCCUUCAGAGGCAUGCGUGGUAGGAGAGCAUUCUCAACACCCGUAGUGCGACCGAAAGGACGCAUCGAAGGUUGAGAAGAGACCCUGCCGGCAUAAGUAGCGAUAACGGAGGUGAGAACCCUCCGCACCGAAAGUCUAAGGUUUCCUGAGGAAGGUUAAUCCGCUCAGGGUUAGUCGGUCCCUAAGGCGAGGCCGAGAGGCGUAGCCGAUGGAUAUCCGGUUAAUAUUCCGGAACUCCCAGGCGUUCGUUAUCACGAUGGGGUGACGCAGAAGGAUAAUCAGGCCAUUACAUGACUAUGGUGGUCGAUGCGCGUAAGCCGGUCCCGGCAGGCAAAUCCACCGGGGCAUCAACGGUGAGGCGCAAAGCAGUAAGCCUUAUGGCUGAAAGCUGAUGAUUCCACGCUGCCAAGAAAAACCUCUAAGGAGAACGCAAGGGAACCGUACCUCAAACCGACACAGGUAGACGAGGAUUUAAUGUCCAAAGGUGCUCGAGAGAACACUCGUUCAGGAACUCGGCAAAUUAGACCCGUAACUUCGGGAGAAGGGUCGCCACAAUAGAGUUUACAGCUCGAAGUGGCCGCAGUGAAACGCGUACGGCGACUGUUUAACAAAAACACAGGUCUCUGCUAAGUCGAAAACGACGUAUAGGGGCUGACGCCUGCCCGGUGCUGGAAGGUUAAAGGGAGAGGUUAGCCGCAAGGCGAAGCUUUGAACUGAAGCCCCAGUGAACGGCGGCCGUAACUAUAACGGUCCUAAGGUAGCGAAAUUCCUUGUC